RNAcentral lists this ribosomal RNA (1018 nucleotides) under Curtobacterium flaccumfaciens. RNAcentral describes it as "bacterial SSU rRNA". It matches the Rfam family "Bacterial small subunit ribosomal RNA", at positions 82 to 1113 of the family's 1533-position model. Lineage: Bacteria; Bacillati; Actinomycetota; Actinomycetes; Micrococcales; Microbacteriaceae. The record is from RNAcentral.
GCUGGGUGGAUUAGUGGCGAACGGGUGAGUAACACGUGAGUAACCUGCCCCUGACUCUGGGAUAAGCGUUGGAAACGACGUCUAAUACUGGAUAUGAUCACUGGCCGCAUGGUCUGGUGGUGGAAAGAUUUUUUGGUUGGGGAUGGACUCGCGGCCUAUCAGCUUGUUGGUGAGGUAAUGGCUCACCAAGGCGACGACGGGUAGCCGGCCUGAGAGGGUGACCGGCCACACUGGGACUGAGACACGGCCCAGACUCCUACGGGAGGCAGCAGUGGGGAAUAUUGCACAAUGGGCGAAAGCCUGAUGCAGCAACGCCGCGUGAGGGAUGACGGCCUUCGGGUUGUAAACCUCUUUUAGUAGGGAAGAAGCGAAAGUGACGGUACCUGCAGAAAAAGCACCGGCUAACUACGUGCCAGCAGCCGCGGUAAUACGUAGGGUGCAAGCGUUGUCCGGAAUUAUUGGGCGUAAAGAGCUCGUAGGCGGUUUGUCGCGUCUGCUGUGAAAUCCCGAGGCUCAACCUCGGGCUUGCAGUGGGUACGGGCAGACUAGAGUGCGGUAGGGGAGAUUGGAAUUCCUGGUGUAGCGGUGGAAUGCGCAGAUAUCAGGAGGAACACCGAUGGCGAAGGCAGAUCUCUGGGCCGUAACUGACGCUGAGGAGCGAAAGCAUGGGGAGCGAACAGGAUUAGAUACCCUGGUAGUCCAUGCCGUAAACGUUGGGCGCUAGAUGUAGGGACCUUUCCACGGUUUCUGUGUCGUAGCUAACGCAUUAAGCGCCCCGCCUGGGGAGUACGGCCGCAAGGCUAAAACUCAAAGGAAUUGACGGGGGCCCGCACAAGCGGCGGAGCAUGCGGAUUAAUUCGAUGCAACGCGAAGAACCUUACCAAGGCUUGACAUACACCGGAAACGGCCAGAGAUGGUCGCCCCCUUGUGGUCGGUGUACAGGUGGUGCAUGGUUGUCGUCAGCUCGUGUCGUGAGAUGUUGGGUUAAGUCCCGCAACGAGCGCAACCCUCGUUCUAU